Molecule: unclassified non-coding RNA, 749 nt
Filed under: Arabidopsis thaliana (thale cress)
Lineage: Eukaryota; Viridiplantae; Streptophyta; Magnoliopsida; Brassicales; Brassicaceae
Description: 3' external transcribed spacer
Source: RNAcentral
CCCUCCCCUAAAUCACUCCAAAAAAACAAUCCCCAAUUCUACACAAGUGUUUCUACACUAACAAAGCAACAGCUCCUUAACGAAUUCCCAACUUUACACGAGCUCGUCUCUCGAGGUUAAAUGUUAUUACUUGGUAAGAUUCCGGACCUCGCCAAGUGUUUUGAAAACCCGCAACGCCUCGCAAAGGUGCAUAGUGAGAAUAAUAAGUGAAGAGACAGACUUGUCCAAAACGCCCACCACGAAGGUGCAUAGUGAGAAGAGUAAGUCAAGAGAUAGACUUGUCCAAAAAGAAACGGAAGAGAAAGCUUGGGGAGACGCUCACGAAGGUGCAUAGUGAGAAGAGUAAGUCAAGAGAUGACUUGUUCAAAAGAAACAAGAGAAUGCUUGGGGUUACACUCACGAAGGUGCAUAGUGAGAAGAGUAAGUCAAGAGACAGACUUGUUCAAAAAGAAACAAAAGAGAAUGCUUGGGGAGAUAGAAGUGUGAGAUAGUUCUCAAGCUAAGAAAGUUGUAAAGCUAAGAACUAGCAAGUAAUCGUCCAGGAUUCCUCCACCAGACUUGAAAUCGUCGAGGGAAAAAAAAUCGGUUCCGAGGAAUCGUCGAUCCGGACUUGGAAUCGUCGAGAAAGUUUACCGGGUCCGAGGAUUUGUCGACCAGGAGUGGAAAUCGUCGAGAAAAAUCUAUCGGGUCCGAGGAAUCGUCGACCAGGACGAGGAAUCGUCGACGUGGUCCGAGGAUUUGCUGUCGAC